Molecule: ribosomal RNA, 494 nt
Filed under: uncultured bacterium
Lineage: Bacteria
Description: partial 16S ribosomal RNA
Rfam family: Bacterial small subunit ribosomal RNA
Source: RNAcentral
GACGAACGCUGGCGGCGCGCUUAACACAUGCAAGUCGAACGGAAAGGCCUGCUUUCCCUUGUGGAUUGCGGGUACUCGAGUGGCGAACGGGUGAGUAACACGUGAGUGAUCUGCCCCCAACUUGGGUAUAAGCCUGGGAAACUGGGUCUAAUUCCCGAUAGGACUGCAGGGUGGUGCCUGUGGUGGAAAACGAUUUUCUAGUGGUUGGGGAUGAGCUCGCGGCCUAUCAGCUUGUUGGUGGGGUAAUGGCCUACCAAGGCGGCGACGGGUAGCCGGCCAGAGAGGGGGGACGGCCGCAUUGGGACUGGGAUACGGCCCAGACUCCUACGGGAGGCAGCAGUGGGGAAUAUUGCACAAUGGGCGGAAGCCUGAUGCAGCGACGCCGCGUGGGAGAUGACGGCCUUCGGGUUGUAAACUCCUUUCGACCGCGAGGAAGCCACCUGGUUGGAAGGGUGGUGACGGUAGUGGUAGAAGAAGCACCGGCUAACUACGUG